ACCCCUAUAGCUCAGUGGGUCAGCAUCAGUCUUGUAAACUGAAGGCCCGUAGUUCGAUCCUGCGUGGGGGCA
Molecule: non-coding RNA, 72 nt
Organism: Phragmites australis (common reed)
Lineage: Eukaryota; Viridiplantae; Streptophyta; Magnoliopsida; Poales; Poaceae
Source: the annotation of a RefSeq genome assembly